This 319-nucleotide long non-coding RNA is filed under the name Elaeis guineensis (African oil palm). RNAcentral's name for it is "long non-coding RNA (EGUI_LNC066111)". The record is from RNAcentral. Lineage: Eukaryota; Viridiplantae; Streptophyta; Magnoliopsida; Arecales; Arecaceae.
GGCUGGUUAGACAUAUAGAUGUGCUGAUCUGAAUUUGAUCAAUUGGAUGUUAUAUCUACUAAUUUUGAAAAGACCUAAACCUAAAUCUUCUCACUAAAUAUUAAGUCUAGAGGUCUUCCAUCAUUAUAGAGAUAUGGGUGCCUUCCUGGCGUUGAUUGUUCUCGAUUGGUUACAGUAGUUCGGUUGCAUCGAGAAGGUAUAACCACUCUAUUAACAUUUGAUGUCUCAAGAUAGAGAUGGGGUUGGGCCCAGUAACUAUUAGGUAAGGGUCCCAAUGAUAGCUUUGGACCCAUUGGUGAAUGAUGGGUCUGACUUAACU